GGAGGAGGAGGUGUGUACUAGCGAUGUGCAGAUCUGAGGCAUCAGCAGCGGGAGGGAUGCAGCUUCCAAACCACUCUCUGCAGACUGCCCAUGAUUGAGCGACUGGGGGCUUCAUUCAGUGAAAAACAGCAGGGUUUGGUCAUAGCUGGUGGGUGGAGGGAGUCAUUUCCUCGUCGGCUUCACCUCUCGAUGAACUCUUUCAGCCUUCAGCCUCUUUUGAGUCAGAAGGGUGGAGACGGAGCAGGCGGUUUGUGUCCACCGCAUCACACAACACACGCCAGCAAAAUGCUGCAGCAUCACUGUAAUUAAAAAUGCACAAACCUUUAACUGAGUUAAUGAUGAACUGUGUUAUUCAUCAGCUCCAUUGAGAGGAUCUGAUGUGUAAACGAUCAAACACACCUUCAGAUCCAAAAAUUAAAGAAAGACUCGGAUGUGAAAUGUAAAGAAGGCGUCUUAAUUCGAUGCAAACAAUCUGUCAAUGCAGAUGAAAGCUGAGUAACAGAUGGUUUCCUGAGCCGUCUGUUACAUACUUGAUUUAGAAGAAAAUAAUAUAAAUGACGAGGUGGUGACAGAUGUAAAUCAGUGGUAAAAUGGUUAAAAGUGAUGGUGGUAAAGCUGUUUCGCAGCUUGCUGUGUGAUUAAAAUUGACUGGAAGCAAAGAUCAACACCUGUUAUCACAUAAUGUUCAGUACUAAUGUUCAUAAUGAAGACAGCUUUUUUUAUUUGUUUGCUUAAUUCUAUUUCAAACACAGACAGUUUAACUACGAGCGUGUUCGAUUCAUGAUUCUUGAUCCGCGAGUGUUUUUCUUCUAAGCCACACUGACUCAUUCCUGCAGCGCGGCACUCGGGAUAAAAUGUCGGCAAUUAACAUUUCUGCAAAUCACUGAAAACGUUCACAACUGUACGUGCCAGAGGCUACACCAGAGGUCACUGACAGGCCGAGAAGCAAGUUAAAAAAUAAAUAUCCCACAUGGCGUGCGUUACAAAAAGAGAAACAGUCGGCACUAAAAGUUCAGCACCAGACGAGGCGUGGAGGUGAAGCUGGAGCGCCGUUCACUCACUCAACAAGAGAAAGUGACGCGAGAGUGAAAGAAAGACUGACUGACUGUUGAGGCUGUUUAUUUUCAAGCUGGCUGAGUUAAAGAAAAAGCUCUGUGUGAUAUUUUUUAUUUGAAAAGACAGCUCUUAUUUUAUUAGAAAUGAGUAAAGAGCAAUUAUUUAUGAAUGACUUCAGAUCCCUUCAGUUCAAUGUGAAAACUGACAAUAAUGUUGAAAUACGGCUCCUCCGAUGCACUGAAUCAUAAUGCAAGUGAGACAUUAUGAGGUUCAGUGAAGUUUUUCCUCACCUCUUUGGAUUUUAAUUGAAUUCCUCCAGGCGACAGGUUGCAUACUGACUCUCCAAAUCGGGAGGUAAAGGAGGUGGUGGAGGAAGUUUUGGCGAGAAGGUUUGAGAAGGUGUUCCAGCAUCUAUUCUCAGUGUUUGAGGAGAGACAGAGACGGGGAUGGACUGAACACAGAGAGUCGACAUCAUCCUCCACGAGUAGGGCUGUUGAACAGCGACACUCGCCAACCCAGUAUCUGUUGAUAGUCGACAACCUUGAAUGAGACUCAACGAUCGUCCGUCUGUCUCCACAAUAGCUGGUCGCCCUGAAGCGUCUGAGCACAGAAAGACCAAACACGAGCUCCAGAAUAAAUGUACGUUUCUACAAACAGCAGAUAUGUUGAAACUUCUGACAAAAGAAAAGGGUAAAUCCAGGCAGUGUGCAGGGUCAACAGACACCAACACACACCUCAGGUGAUCACUGAGAGGGAUUAUUUUGCGUACACCGCGUCUGCACUUUGUCGUUGUGGGAGAGUCCUACGUCAUUUACCUCCAAGCAGUCAGAAGCAAGACGGAGAGAAGGGAUGAAGCAGAUAAUUAUGGAGUUCUUGCUGCAAGUUAGUCAUUUCAAACAUAAAAGUAAUGGUAAUGAAGGAAAAUGUCACCCAGUGUGAAACUGAAGUUCAUUGAUGUAUUUUUAAUGUUUUCGGAGUGAAGCUCUGCGGCACGGAGGAACGUCACGUAUCAGACUCUGGCUGCACACACAGUUCUUGUCACUGAGAUCAAAUCUUUGACGGUCUUUUCAUUGGGAUUUGUUGAUAGUAAGAAAAAAAGUAGAAUACAAUCUGUUACUUUACUUCUUAUCAAACAGGUUAUGACUAAUGAAUGUCGGUUAACUUAAUGAGCAUGAAUUAUAUAUCCAUCACAUUCUAUCAAAGAUGUGAUGUGUUUUUUUUAACUGCCUUUUUGUGUCCAAAUGACGACAGUGAUGAACAUCCCAUGACUAUCGUGAAAGAUAAAGAUUAAAGGUGCCAUACGUAAGAACUGGCCACCUGUUAACUUCAUAAUCACAACAAACGGGCAACAUUUCACCUGCUAACUGCUAACUGCUAACUGUUGCUGCCAUUAGCUCAGUUAGCUCAGUUAGCCAUGCAUGGCUGGUCCAGACUGGGAGCUUGGAGCAACAGGAAAGUGUUCAUGUUUACACCGCUAACACAGGAGCUUUGGACCGAGAUGAGCUAGCUGGUUAGCACGCUAACAUCUGCGAAACUAUACAUAGACAUUAUUGUGUCAAAACGGUUCUGCGUCAAAUUACCUGCAGAUGAUUUCAGGUAAUGUUUUCAACUCGUAUAUCGCUGUAUUACACCUUUAGUCAAACCUCAGACUGUUUUCAUUUCAUCUUCUGCCAGAUGACGGAUGGAUUCAUCAAACUGUCCGUCUCUGUGAUACUUAUGUCACAUCAUCAUUACCUCUUCUUAAUGAAAAUCUCAUUUACUUUUCUUCUUCCUUCUUCCAAAACCACCACCUUAAUGACAAUCAGCUUAUCUGUGAGAACUGCAUCACUUGUUCAUCCAUAAAACACAGAAGAUCAAUUAUUUCUGGUUCACAUCGUGUUCCCACAGAGGCAAAUAAACAUUUUUCAUCAUCA
Acanthopagrus latus (yellowfin seabream) is the source of this 2969-nucleotide long non-coding RNA. RefSeq lists it as uncharacterized. The transcript has 4 exons. The record is from RefSeq and is a predicted model, not a curated record. NCBI's taxonomy places the organism in Eukaryota, Metazoa, Chordata, Actinopteri, Spariformes, Sparidae.